Long non-coding RNA from Lycium ferocissimum, 612 nucleotides. RefSeq lists it as uncharacterized. The transcript has 3 exons. The record is from RefSeq and is a predicted model, not a curated record. NCBI's taxonomy places the organism in Eukaryota, Viridiplantae, Streptophyta, Magnoliopsida, Solanales, Solanaceae.
AGUUUUAAUAUUUUUUAUAACGAAGAGACUUAAUCUGGUCUCUUUAUAGAUGAAUAACUAGUCCCAGAAACUAAAUUUAGCGGGACAAGGCCCCACUUACAUUAAAGUCCAUUUCUCUCUUUUUUUGGGUCGUAAUAAAAUCCAUUUCCCAAAAGUCACUCGACACAGUAAAAUCCAUAAACCCUAAUCUCUUCACCUUGGCCCGACGUUGAGUGCUCUUUAUCUCCAUCGACGAUUGAAGGACGCCGCUGAUAUCGAAGAAUUCCCAGCCUCAAAAUUCUUGGAUAACUUACUCUCAAGAGAGCGAUGAGGGACCCGCCUUCAAGUACUGCUCCUGCGAUUUCAUGAAGAAGGUUUACGGCUGGGCUCAGCAACAACUGCAAUGUAACAACUGCGAUAAUCGAGGCAAUGGAGGUUUCGAAUCAGAAGUUUUGCGAAAAAGCCUAUUAUUAUGCUCGUCUAAGGUACUUGAGACCAUGGAUUGUUCCUAUGCCUGAAACAACUUUCACAACUAGGAUUGAUGAGGACGAGUGUCAGAUACUGGCCAAUGACGGUCUUUGGGAUGGCUCAUUGCAUUUUAAGACGGCGACGCUGAUCUAUGACAGAUGAUGA